AGAACGAACGCUGGCGGCGUGCUUAACACAUGCAAGUCGAGUGCGCGCCUGUAGCAAUACAGGUGGCGCACGGCGCACGGGUGCGUAACACGUGGGUAAUCUGCCCUCUGAUGGGGAAUAACUCGCCGAAAGGCGAGCUAAUUCCGCAUAAUAUUCCGGGAACUUAUGUUUCUGGACUGAAAGGCGUAAGUCGUCGGAGGAGGAGCCCGCGCACGAUUAGCUAGUUGGUAGGGUAAUGGCCUACCAAGGCUUUGAUCGUUAGCUGGUCUGAGAGGAUGGCCAGCCACACUGGAACUGAGACACGGUCCAGACUCCUACGGGAGGCAGCAGUGGGGAAUCUUGCACAAUGGGCGAAAGCCUGAUGCAGCGACGCCGCGUGGGGGAUGAAGCUUCUCGGAGUGUAAACCCCUUUCGACUCCGGACGAAUGCCUCGCAAGAGGAGUGACGGUACGGAUAUAAGAAGCCCCGGCUAACGUACGUGCCAGCAG
Molecule: ribosomal RNA, 488 nt
Filed under: uncultured bacterium
Lineage: Bacteria
Description: SSU rRNA
Rfam family: Bacterial small subunit ribosomal RNA
Source: RNAcentral